This 83-nucleotide transfer RNA is filed under the name Hydra vulgaris (swiftwater hydra). It matches the Rfam family "tRNA". Rfam says of the family: Transfer RNA (tRNA) molecules are approximately 80 nucleotides in length. Their secondary structure includes four short double-helical elements and three loops (D, anti-codon, and T loops). Lineage: Eukaryota; Metazoa; Cnidaria; Hydrozoa; Anthoathecata; Hydridae. The record is from Rfam by way of RNAcentral.
GCCAGGAUGGCCGAGCGGUUAAGGCGUUGGUCUCAAGAUCCAAUGGACAUUUGUCCGCGUGGGUUCGAAUCCCACUUCUGGUA